ACUGAACGCUGGCGGCAUGAUUUACACAUGCAAGUCGAACGGUAACAGGCCGCAAGGUGCUGACGAGUGGCGAACGGGUGAGUAAUGCAUCGGAACGUGCCCAGUCGUGGGGGAUAACUACUCGAAAGAGUAGCUAAUACCGCAUACGAUCUAUGGAUGAAAGCGGGGGACCGUAAGGCCUCGCGCGAUUGGAGCGGCCGAUGUCAGAUUAGGUAGUUGGUGGGGUAAAGGCUCACCAAGCCAACGAUCUGUAGCUGGUCUGAGAGGACGACCAGCCACACUGGGACUGAGACACGGCCCAGACUCCUACGGGAGGCAGCAGUGGGGAAUUUUGGACAAUGGGCGCAAGCCUGAUCCAGCAAUGCCGCGUGCAGGAAGAAGGCCUUCGGGUUGUAAACUGCUUUUGUACGGAACGAAACGGCUCUGGUUAAUACCCGGGGCUAAUGACGGUACCGGAAGAAUAAGCACCGGCUAACUACGUG
RNAcentral lists this ribosomal RNA (482 nucleotides) under uncultured bacterium. Its description in RNAcentral is "partial 16S ribosomal RNA". It matches the Rfam family "Bacterial small subunit ribosomal RNA", at positions 30 to 507 of the family's 1533-position model. The record is from RNAcentral.